UAUCGUACAAAAUGUGAGGGGCCACGCAAAGGGCUGUCGCUGACUCAAAAGGAGUUGUGCACGCCCUUGUGUGUCCUUAUCGCAUAAUAAUCCACCUCACCCUUUGUGCACCACCGCGUGGGUGCCCUUUUGUGAUCAGACCUGAUCUCGGAGGGUGCUCGCGUUUUCACACAAACCCCCCCUUUUAAAAGUGUAGAGUGACCUCAUUUAUGCGCUAACCCGCAAUCAAUACAACUUUCAACAACGGAUCUCUUGGCUCUCGCAUCGAUGAAGAACGCAGCGAAAUGCGAUACGUAAUGUGAAUUGCAGAAUUCAGUGAAUCAUCGAAUCUUUGAACGCACCUUGCGCCCCUUGGUAUUCCGAGGGGCACACCCGUUUGAGUGUCGUGAAAAUCUCAACCUCCUUGGUUUCUUCUGGAGACCAAAGGAGGCUUGGACUUUGGAGGCAUUUGCUGGCAUCUUCUCUCUUUUGAAGGUUCAGCUCCUCUCAAAUGAAUUAGCGGGGUCCUCUUUGCCGAUCCUUGACAUGUGAUAAGAUGUUUUCCAUGCCUUGGUUUCUGGCUCUGUCGCCUUCGGGACCUGCUCCUAACCGUCUUGACCUUGCAUCGAGACAAUGUUCGAGCUCGUCUCCCUUCUCGGGAGACAUCCUCGACCCCACGAACCCUUGACCUCAAAUCGGGUGAGACUACCCGCUGAACUU
This 699-nucleotide ribosomal RNA is filed under the name uncultured Russulaceae. RNAcentral describes it as "eukaryotic LSU rRNA". The stretch from base 233 to 386 matches the Rfam family "5.8S ribosomal RNA". The record is from RNAcentral. Lineage: Eukaryota; Fungi; Basidiomycota; Agaricomycetes; Russulales; Russulaceae.